RNAcentral lists this small RNA (1025 nucleotides) under uncultured fungus. Its description in RNAcentral is "eukaryotic LSU rRNA". The stretch from base 591 to 1025 matches the Rfam family "Eukaryotic large subunit ribosomal RNA", at positions 1 to 429 of the family's 3401-position model. Lineage: Eukaryota; Fungi. The record is from RNAcentral.
UCCGUAGGUGAACCUGCGGAAGGAUCAUUAGUGAAUUAAACAUGCUUGGUGUCUUCGCUUCGGCAAGGCCCUUGCUUAAAUCACAUCCUAACACCUGUGAACUGUAAGACGUAUGAUGAGGUCUUUGGCCAAGUCAUCGUCUGCCCAUUUUUAACAAACAAUUAAUGUAACAAACGUAGUCUUAUUAUAACCUAAUAAAACUUUCAACAACGGAUCUCUUGGCUCUCGCAUCGAUGAAGAACGCAGCGAAAUGCGAUAAGUAAUGUGAAUUGCAGAAUUCAGUGAAUCAUCGAAUCUUUGAACGCACCUUGCGCUCUUUGGUAUUCCGAAGAGCAUGCCUGUUUGAGUGUCAUGAAAAUAUCAACCUUGACUUGGGUUUUGUGCUCUAGUCUUGGCUUGGAAUUGGGUGCUUGCCGCUUUUACGAGCGGCUCACCUUAAAUGUAUUAGCUGGAUCUGUCUUUGAGACUUGGUUUGACUUGGCGUAAUAAGUAUUUCGCUAAGGACAUUCUUCGGAGUGGCCUCGUUUCUAGGGCGCUUGUCCGCUUCCCAAUACAAGUUCCACCUCGUGGACAUGACUUUUUUUAUUAUCUGGCCUCAAAUCAGGUAGGACUACCCGCUGAACUUAAGCAUAUCAAUAAGCGGAGGAAAAGAAACUAACAAGGAUUCCCCUAGUAACGGCGAGUGAAGCGGGAAAAGCUCAAAUUUGAAAUCUGGUAGCCUCAGGCUGCCCGAGUUGUAAUCUAUAGAAACGUUUUCCGCGUUGGCCCAUGUACAAGUCUCCUGGAGUGGAGCGUCAUAGAGGGUGAGAAUCCCGUCCUUGACAUGGACUACCAGUGCUUUGUGAUACGUUUUCAAAGAGUCGAGUUGUUUGGGAAUGCAGCUCAAAAUGGGUGGUAAAUUCCAUCUAAAGCUAAAUAUUGGCGAGAGACCGAUAGCGAACAAGUACCGUGAGGGAAAGAUGAAAAGCACUUUGGAAAGAGAGUUAAGCAGUAUGUGAAAUUGUUGAAAGGGAAACGCUUGAAGU